UAGUCAUAUGCUUGUCUCAAAGAUUAAGCCAUGCAUGUCUAAGUAUAAGCAAUUAUACAGCGAAACUGCGAAUGGCUCAUUAUAUAAGUUAUCGUUUAUUUGAUAGUACCUUACUACUUGGAUAACCGUGGUAAUUCUAGAGCUAAUACAUGCUAAAAAUCCCGACUUCGGAAGGGAUGUGUUUAUUAGAUUAAAAACCAAUGCCCUUCGGGGCGCUCUGGUGAUUCAUGAUAACCUGUCGAAUCGCAUGGCCUUGUGCCGGCGAUGGUUCAUUCAAAUUUCUUCCCUAUCAACUUUCGAUGUUUGGGUAUUGGCCAAACAUGGUUGCAACGGGUAACGGAGGGUUAGGGCUCGACCCCGGAGAAGGAGCCUGAGAAACGGCUACUACAUCCAAGGAAGGCAGCAGGCGCGCAAAUUACCCAAUCCCGACUCGGGGAGGUAGUGACAAUAAAUACUGAGACAGGGCUCUUUAGGGUCUUGUAAUUGGAAUGAGUACAAUUUAAAUCCCUUAACGAGGAACAAUUGGAGGACAAGUCUGGUGCCAGCAGCC
RNAcentral lists this ribosomal RNA (550 nucleotides) under uncultured eukaryote. RNAcentral describes it as "SSU rRNA". It matches the Rfam family "Eukaryotic small subunit ribosomal RNA", at positions 21 to 575 of the family's 1831-position model. The record is from RNAcentral.